Molecule: long non-coding RNA, 2455 nt
Organism: Mastomys coucha (southern multimammate mouse)
Lineage: Eukaryota; Metazoa; Chordata; Mammalia; Rodentia; Muridae
Exons: 3
Source: RefSeq, a predicted model, not a curated record
AUGACAGGAAAGGGGUGAGAAGUUGGUGGGGAGAGACUUUAAAUUCAAAAACGAGAAGAAAAGUAACUCAGGGUGGUGGGGUAUGGUUGAACCCCUGUGUGGUCAAGCUGCUGGCAAAGGACACUGUGUAGUUUUCUCCUGACAGGAGACUAAAAUCUAGGACCUCCUCUUUCUAGGAAAAGCAUGUUACCAUUUCAAAAUGGCAGGUACACCAAUCUCUUCAUUCUCAAAUGAUGACUGAAAAGUUAGGAAAAAAAAAAAGAAAAGGGAGUUGCCUUCAGACAGGGGAUCUGAAGCUUGGUCAAGGUGAAAGGAAAUAGAGAGAACUGGGUUAAAUAGAGGAAGCCAGGGAUAAAAUUCCAAGGACACCAGCUGGGAGACACACAGUCAGGGUUGAUGGGUAGGUCCCAGGAGAAACCCAUACUACUCAGAGACAGGAAUAAAAUGUGGGCAGGACUUAAGACAUUGACUGAAAGCCAACAGAGGAAGCAUCCACUCUCACUCCAGCACACAUGCCUGGGAGUCACGCAUUUACCUCACACAUGAAGAAAUGGAUGGAGCUGCCACGAAAGCCAGGCUCUCCAACUGCCACCCCCAUCGGACUUGUCUGGAGCAUUCAUUGAAGCAUGGGAAACUGGGUCCCAGCUACAGAGCUUCUGGUUCCUGAGUGCUCAGAUUUAUCUCUGUUGCUGUAAUAAAACACCCCAGGGUUACGGCCCCUCACAGCAGGGGAGUCACAGGAGCAGAAGGUUGAGACAGAUGAUCACCUCACUCCCACCAUAGAGGAGAGAAAUGCAUGCACACACACACACACACACACACACACACCUCAGCUAGCUUUCUCUGACACAGUGCAGGGCCCAAACCCAGGGGAAAGUGAUGCCCAUUUUGAAGCUGAAUUGCCUUACAUCGGCAAUAAAAACAUACCACAGACCCAGCCUCACCUGUACAGCAGGGACAAUCUACCACAGACCCAGCCUCACCUGUACAGCAGGGACAAUCUACCACAGACCCAGCCUCACCUCUACAGCAGGGACAAUCUACCACAGACCCAGCCUCACUUUGAUAACAGAGACAAUCUACCUCAGACCCAGCCUCACCUUGAGAACAGAGACAAUCUACCUCAGACCCAGCCUCACCUCGACAGCAGAGACAAUCUACCACAGACCCAGCCUCACCUUGACAGCAGAGACAAUCUACCUCAGACCCAGCCUCACCUCGACAGCAAAGACAAUCUACCACAGACCCAGCCUCACCUUGAGAACAGAGACAAUCUACCACGGACCCAGCCUCACCUCGACAGUAGAGACAAUCUACCACAGACCCAGCCUCACCUUGACAGCAGACAAUCUACCACAGACCCAGCCUCACCUCUACAGCAGGGACAAUCUAACACAGACCCAGCCUUACCUCGACAGCAAAAACAAUCUACCACAGACCCAGCCUCACCUUGAGAACACAGGCAAUCUACCACAGACCCAGCCUCACCUCGACAGCAGAGACAAUCUACCUCAGACAUGCCCAGAGAUCAGCCUAAUCUAGACAAUCCCUCACUCAGCCCUCUUCCCAGAUGAUCCUAGGGUAUGUCAAGUUGGAAACUAGAACCAACCAUCACACUCUAUAGGGUAUGAGACAGGAAAAUUUGCUUCCUAAGCUUCUAAAAAGUCUACUGCUGGAAACUGACCCAUGUUGCUUUAGGUCAUCUGUAGAGAGAAUCUGUUGUAUUGUAUAGAAGCACCACCUGUCAAUAAAAUGUUGUUGGCCUAUUCACUUAGGCAGGAAACAGGUGGGAAUUUCUGGGAACAGAGUUUUAGACAUGGGUGAGAUUCAGUGCCCCAGACACAGAAGAAGGCAGUCGCAUGAAACUGAGGACCAGGUAACCAGCCACAUGGCAUGACUCAGAAUAUUCAGGAAAUUAAGUUAUGAGCUAGUCAACAGUGGAAAGACCCAAGUCAUCUCUUCAAACCUCGCUCUCCACACUUGUAAAUGGGAAUAAUGAUAGCUCCCACAGAACAGAAUCAUAAGGAAGAUCAAAGGAGAUGCAUAUAAAACCUUCGGCACACAGCUUUCUGACAACAGGCGCCUGUAGACUUGAGCAACCGUCAAAAGUGUUGUGGAAGAGCACUCUCCUGCCGUGAACAGAAAGAGCAGCAAAACCAAUAGGUGUUCAACAACUAUGUCCAGUAAAUCUUCACGGAAUGGAUAAACCAUUCCACCCACUGCCUGGACCCCAAUCUACCCACCCAUUUUGACAAGUCUGGGAACUAUUCAGAGAAAGAACCCUUCUUGGCUCAUUAACCUUUCAGCGGAGACUGUCCUUCCUUUGUUGAAUCUUGGGGUGCACAGGCCUGUGAAAGUGACCCAGGGAUGGAUCCCUGAGGAGGUAUACAUACAUACCCCCCACCCCCCCAAACCCUACCCCCAUCCCAUCCUGCAAAGGCAAAAAGCUCCGGAC